Molecule: ribosomal RNA, 253 nt
Filed under: uncultured Lactobacillus sp.
Lineage: Bacteria; Bacillati; Bacillota; Bacilli; Lactobacillales; Lactobacillaceae
Description: partial 16S ribosomal RNA
Rfam family: Bacterial small subunit ribosomal RNA
Source: RNAcentral
UACGUAGGUGGCAAGCGUUAUCCGGAUUUAUUGGGCGUAAAGCGAGCGCAGGCGGUUGCUUAGGUCUGAUGUGAAAGCCUUCGGCUUAACCGAAGAAGUGCAUCGGAAACCGGGCGACUUGAGUGCAGAAGAGGACAGUGGAACUCCAUGUGUAGCGGUGAAAUGCUUAGAUAUCACGAAGAACUCCGAUUGCGAAGGCAGCUCACUGGACUGCAACUGACACUGAGGCUCGAAAGUGUGGGUAUCAAACAGG